GAAAUGCGAUAAGUAAUGUGAAUUGCAGAAUUCAGUGAAUCAUCGAAUCUUUGAACGCACAUUGCGCCCGCCAGCACUCCGGCGGGCAUGCCUGUUCGAGCGUCAUUUCAACCAUCAAGCCCCCGGGCUUGUGUUGGGGACCUGCGGCUGCCCGCAGGCCCUGAAAACCAGUGGCGGGCUCGCUGUCACACCGAGCGUAGUAGCAAUCACCUCGCUCAGGGCGUGCUGCGGGUUCCGGCCGUUAAACAGCCUUACAAAACCCAAGGUUGACCUCGGAUCAGGUAGGAAGACCCGCUGAACUUAAGC
Molecule: unclassified non-coding RNA, 306 nt
Filed under: plant metagenome
Description: partial contains 5.8S ribosomal RNA, internal transcribed spacer 2, and large subunit ribosomal RNA
Rfam family: 5.8S ribosomal RNA (bases 1-105)
Source: RNAcentral